UACGUAGGGGGCCAGCGUUGCUCGGAAUUACUGGGCGUAAAGGGUCCGUAGGCGGUGUGGCAAGUCGGGAGUGAAAUCUCUGGGCUUAACCCAGAGGCUGCUUCCGAAACUGCCGUGCUAGAGUGUGAGAGAGGCGAGUGGAAUUGCGGGUGUAGCGGUGAAAUGCGUAGAUAUCCGCAGGAACAUCCGAGGCGAAAGCGGCUCGCUGGAUCACAACUGACGCUGAGGGACGAAAGCUAGGGGAGCAAACAGG
Molecule: ribosomal RNA, 253 nt
Filed under: uncultured bacterium
Lineage: Bacteria
Description: partial 16S ribosomal RNA
Rfam family: Bacterial small subunit ribosomal RNA
Source: RNAcentral